CCUACGGGAGGCAGCAGUAGGGAAUCUUCCACAAUGGACGAAAGUCUGAUGGAGCAACGCAGCGUGAGUGAAGAAGGGUUUCGGCUCGUACAGCUCUGUUGGUAGUGAAGAAAGAUAGAGGUAGUAACUGGCCCUUAUUUGACGGUAAUUACUUAGAAAGUCACGGCUAACUACUUGCCAGCCGCCGCGGUAAUACGUAGGUGGCAAGCGUUGUCCGGAUGUAUUGGGCGUAAAGCGAUGGCGGGCGGUUUAAUAAGUCUGAUGUGAAAGCCUUCGGCUCAACCGGAGAAUUGCAUCAGAAACUGUUGAACUUGAGUGCAGAAGAGGAGAGUGGAACGCCAUGUGUAGCGGUGGAAUGCGUAGAGAUAUGGAAGAACACCAGUGGCGAAGGCGGCUCUCUGGUCUGCAACUGACGCUGAGGCUCGAAAGCAUGGGUAGCGAACAGGAUUAGAUACCCUGGUAGUC
This 465-nucleotide ribosomal RNA is filed under the name uncultured bacterium. RNAcentral's name for it is "partial 16S ribosomal RNA". It matches the Rfam family "Bacterial small subunit ribosomal RNA", at positions 338 to 795 of the family's 1533-position model. The record is from RNAcentral.